This 1050-nucleotide ribosomal RNA is filed under the name Microbacterium sp. 170. Its description in RNAcentral is "bacterial SSU rRNA". The stretch from base 1 to 805 matches the Rfam family "Bacterial small subunit ribosomal RNA", at positions 56 to 873 of the family's 1533-position model. Lineage: Bacteria; Bacillati; Actinomycetota; Actinomycetes; Micrococcales; Microbacteriaceae. The record is from RNAcentral.
UGCAAGUCGAACGGUGAAAGAGAGCUUGCUCUCUGGAUCAGUGGCGAACGGGUGAGUAACACGUGAGCAACCUGCCCCGGACUCUGGGAUAACAGUUGGAAACAGCUGCUAAUACCGGAUACGAGCUGCGAAGGCAUCUUCAGCAGCUGGAAAGAACUUCGGUCUGGGAUGGGCUCGCGGCCUAUCAGCUUGUUGGUGAGGUAACGGCUCACCAAGGCGUCGACGGGUAGCCGGCCUGAGAGGGUGACCGGCCACACUGGGACUGAGACACGGCCCAGACUCCUACGGGAGGCAGCAGUGGGGAAUAUUGCACAAUGGGCGAAAGCCUGAUGCAGCAACGCCGCGUGAGGGACGACGGCCUUCGGGUUGUAAACCUCUUUUAGCAGGGAAGAAGCGAAAGUGACGGUACCUGCAGAAAAAGCGCCGGCUAACUACGUGCCAGCAGCCGCGGUAAUACGUAGGGCGCAAGCGUUAUCCGGAAUUAUUGGGCGUAAAGAGCUCGUAGGCGGUCUGUCGCGUCUGCUGUGAAAACCCGAGGCUCAACCUCGGGCCUGCAGUGGGUACGGGCAGACUAGAGUGCGGUAGGGGAGAUUGGAAUUCCUGGUGUAGCGGUGGAAUGCGCAGAUAUCAGGAGGAACACCGAUGGCGAAGGCAGAUCUCUGGGCCGUAACUGACGCUGAGGAGCGAAAGGGUGGGGAGCAAACAGGCUUAGAUACCCUGGUAGUCCACCCCGUAAACGUUGGGAACUAGUUGUGGGGACCAUUCCACGGUUUCCGUGACGCAGCUAACGCAUUAAGUUUAGGUUCAGGUCUCGCAACGAGUUGNNNGGGNNGNUGAUUACCAUGCAAGUCGAACGGUGAAAGAGAGCUUGCUCUCUGGAUCAGUGGCGAACGGGUGAGUAACACGUGAGCAACCUGCCCCGGACUCUGGGAUAACAGUUGGAAACAGCUGCUAAUACCGGAUACGAGCUGCGAAGGCAUCUUCAGCAGCUGGAAAGAACUUCGGUCUGGGAUGGGCUCGCGGCCUAUCAGCUUGUUGGUGAGGUAACGG